GCUCCCCUUCGGAUUGGUUUGUUGGCUCCAGUGGUCUUCGACAUGGCUGUCUGCUAUCCCCUUACAAAUUCAUUUUAUAUUUUGAAGGUUUUUCUACGCUUCUUCAUUAUGCGGUGUACUCUCAAAUACUGAAAGUUUAUGGACUGCAGGAUGGUCCAAAUAUUUCGCAUGUUUUCUAUGCAGAUGAUUGUCUUCUAGUAGCCCGUAAC
Molecule: long non-coding RNA, 209 nt
Filed under: Elaeis guineensis (African oil palm)
Lineage: Eukaryota; Viridiplantae; Streptophyta; Magnoliopsida; Arecales; Arecaceae
Description: long non-coding RNA (EGUI_LNC045541)
Source: RNAcentral